GGUUUGAUUAUGGCUCAGAUUGAACGCUGGCGGGAUGCUUUUACACAUGCAAGUCGAACGGCAGCACGGACUUCGGUCUGGUGGCGAGUGGCGAACGGGUGAGUAAUGUAUCGGAACGUGCCUAGUAGCGGGGAUAACUACGCGAAAGUUAUAGCUAAUACUGCAUACGCCCCUUGGGAAAGCGGGGGACCUUCGGGCCUCGCACUAUUAGAGAGCGGCCGAUAUCGGAUUAGCUAGUUGGUGGGGUAACGGCCUACCAAGGGGCGACGAUCCGUAGCUGGUUUGAGAGGACGACCAGCCACACUGGGACUGAGACACGGCCCAGACUCCUACGGGAGGCGCAGUGGGGAAUUUUGGACAAUGGGGGAAACCCCUGAUCCAGCCAUCCCGCGUGUGCGACGAAGGCCUUCGGGUUGUAAAGCACUUUUGGCAGGAAAGAAACGGCACGGGGUAAUACCCCGUGCAACUGACGGUACCCAGAAUAAGCACCGCCAACUACGUGCCAGCAGCCGCGGUAAUACGUAGGGUGCAAGCGUUAAUCGGAAUUACUGGGCGUAAAGCGUGCGCAGGCGGUUCGGAAAGAAAGAUGUGAAAUCCCAGAGCUUAACUUUGGAACUGCAUUUUUAACUACCGAGCUAGAGUGUGUCAGAGGGGAGGUGGAAUUCCGCGUGUAGCAGUGAAAUGCGUAGAUAUGCGGAGGAACACCGAUGGCGAAGGCAGCCUCCCUGGGAUAACACUGACGCUCAUGCACGAAAGCGUGGGGAGCAAACAGGAUUAGAUACCCUGGUAGUCCACGCCCUAAACGAUGUCAACUAGCUGUUGGGGCCUUCGGGCCUGGUAGCGCAGCUUAACGUAGUAAGUUGACCGCCCGGGGAGUACGGUCGCAAGAUUAAAACUCAAAGGAAUUAUCGUGACCCGCAAGCGGUGGAUGAUGUGGAUUAAUUCGAUGCAACGCGAAAAACCUUUACUCAUCUUUGACAUGUUCCGGAAUCCCGAAGAGAUUUGGGAGGCGUCGUAAGAGAACCGGAACACAGGUGCUGCAUGGCUGUCGUCAGCUGCCGAUGUUAAGAAGCCCCGCAACGAAGUAACCUUUGUCAUUAGUUGCUACGAAAGGACACUCUAAUGAGACUGCCGGUGACAAACCGGAGGAAGGUGGGGAUGACGUCAAGUCCUCAUGGUCCUUAUGGGUAGGGGCUUCCACACGUCAUACAAUGGUCGGGACAGAGGGUCGCCAACCCGCGAGGGGGAGCCAAUCCCAGAAACCCGAUCGUAGGGUCCGAUCGCAGUCUGCAACUCGACUGCGUGAAGUCGGAAUCGCUAGUAAUCGCGGAUCAGCAUGUCGCGGUGAAUACGUCUCGGAAGUCUUGCACACACCGCCCGUCACACCAUGGGAGUGGGUUUUACCAGAAGUAGUUAGCCUAACCGUAAGGAGGGCGAUUACCACGGUAGGAUUCAUGACUGGGGUGAAGUCGUAACAAGGUAG
Molecule: ribosomal RNA, 1483 nt
Filed under: uncultured Bordetella sp.
Lineage: Bacteria; Pseudomonadati; Pseudomonadota; Betaproteobacteria; Burkholderiales; Alcaligenaceae
Description: partial 16S-23S ribosomal RNA intergenic spacer
Rfam family: Bacterial small subunit ribosomal RNA
Source: RNAcentral